AUUGAACGCUAGCGGGAUGCCGUACACAUGCAAGUCGAACGGAGUGGCGAACGGGUGAGUAAUGUAUCGGAACGUGCCCAGUAGCGGGGGCUAACUACGCGACAGCGUAGCUAAUACCGACUACUAUGGGAGCGGCCGAUAGCGGAGUAGCUAGUUGGUGGGGAAACGGCUCACCAAGUCGACGAUCCGUAGCCGGUUUGAGAGGAAGACCAGCCACACUGGGACUUAGACACAGCCCAGACUCCUACGGGAGGCAGCAGUGGGGAAUUUUGGACAAUGGGGGAAACCCUGAUCCAGCCAUCCCGCGUGUGCGAUGAAGGCCUUCGGGUUGUAAAGCACUUUUGGCAGGAAAGCGGUACCUGCAGAAUAAGCACCGGCUAACUACGUGCCAGCCGCCGCGGUAAUUC
This 407-nucleotide ribosomal RNA is filed under the name uncultured bacterium. RNAcentral describes it as "partial 16S ribosomal RNA". It matches the Rfam family "Bacterial small subunit ribosomal RNA", at positions 30 to 526 of the family's 1533-position model. The record is from RNAcentral.